CUACGGGACGCUCCAGUGGGGGAUAUUGCACAAUGGGCGAAAGCCUGAUGCAGCAACGCCGCGUGAAGGAAGACGGUUUUCGGAUUGUAAACUUCUAUCAGCAGGGAAGAAAAUGACUGUACCUGACUAAGAAGCCCCGGCUAACUACGUGCCAGCAGCCGCGGUAAUACGUAGGGGGCAAGCGUUAUCCGGAAUUACUGGGUGUAAAGGGUACGUAGGCGGCUGAUCAAGUCAGAUGUGAAAGCCCGGAGCUCAACUCCGGGACUGCAUUUGAAACUGGUCGGCUAGAGUGCAGGAGAGGAAAGUGGAAUUCCUAGUGUAGCGGUGAAAUGCGUAGAUAUUAGGAAGAACACCAGUGGCGAAGGCGGCUCUCUGGACUGUAACUGACGCUGAGGUACGAAAGCUUGGGGAGCGAACAGGAUUAGAUACCCUCGUAGUC
This 439-nucleotide ribosomal RNA is filed under the name uncultured bacterium. RNAcentral describes it as "partial 16S ribosomal RNA". It matches the Rfam family "Bacterial small subunit ribosomal RNA", at positions 339 to 795 of the family's 1533-position model. The record is from RNAcentral.